GCAUAUCAAUAAGCGGAGGAAAAGAAACCAACSAGGGAUUGCCUUAGUAGCGGCGAGUGAAGCGGCAAAAGCUCAAAUUUGAAAUCUGGCGCCUUCGGUGUCCGAGUUGUAAUUUGAAGAUUGUAACCUUGGGGUUGGCUCUUGUCUAUGUUUCUUGGAACAGGACGUCACAGAGGGUGAGAAUCCCGUGCGAUGAGAUGCCCAAUUCUAUGUAAGGUGCUUUCGAAGAGUCGAGUUGUUUGGGAAUGCAGCUCUAAGUGGGUGGUAAAUUCCAUCUAAAGCUAAAUAUUGGCGAGAGACCGAUAGCGAACAAGUACAGUGAUGGAAAGAUGAAAAGAACUUUGAAAAGAGAGUGAAAAAGUACGUGAAAUUGUUGAAAGGGAAGGGUUUGAGAUCAGACUCGAUAUUUUGUGAGCCUUGCCUUCGUGGCGGGGUGACCCGCAGCUUAUCGGGCCAGCAUCGGUUUGGGCGGUAGGAUAAUGGCGUAGGAAUGUGACUUUACUUCGGUGAAGUGUUAUAGCCUGCGUUGAUGCUGCCUGCCUAGACCGAGGAACUGCGAUUAUCAAGAUGCGCAAAACCCCCAAAACCCU
RNAcentral lists this ribosomal RNA (590 nucleotides) under Meyerozyma guilliermondii. Its description in RNAcentral is "partial large subunit ribosomal RNA". It matches the Rfam family "Eukaryotic large subunit ribosomal RNA", at positions 38 to 629 of the family's 3401-position model. The record is from RNAcentral. Lineage: Eukaryota; Fungi; Ascomycota; Pichiomycetes; Serinales; Debaryomycetaceae.